RNAcentral lists this ribosomal RNA (446 nucleotides) under uncultured bacterium. Its description in RNAcentral is "partial 16S ribosomal RNA". It matches the Rfam family "Bacterial small subunit ribosomal RNA", at positions 338 to 795 of the family's 1533-position model. The record is from RNAcentral.
CCUACGGGUGGCAGCAGUCGAGAAUCAUUCACAAUGGGGGAAACCCUGAUGGUGCGACGCCGCGUGGGGGAAUGAAGGUCUUCGGAUUGUAAACCCCUGUCAUGUGGGAGCAAAUUAAAAAGAUAGUACCACAAGAGGAAGAGACGGCUAACUCUGUGCCAGCAGCCGCGGUAAUACAGAGGUCUCAAGCGUUGUUCGGAAUCACUGGGCGUAAAGCGUGCGUAGGCUGUUUCGUAGGUCGUGUGUGAAAGGCGCGGGCUCAACCCGCGGACGGCACAUGAUACUGCGAGACUAGAGUAAGGGAGGGGGAACCGGAAUUCUCGGUGUAGCAGUGAAAUGCGUAGAUAGCGAGAGGAACACUCGUGGCGAAGGCGGGUUCCUGGACAUUAACUGACGCUGAGGCACGAAGGCCAGGGGAGCGAAAGGGAUUAGAUACCCUAGUAGUC